Molecule: long non-coding RNA, 1591 nt
Organism: Olea europaea var. sylvestris
Lineage: Eukaryota; Viridiplantae; Streptophyta; Magnoliopsida; Lamiales; Oleaceae
Exons: 2
Source: RefSeq, a predicted model, not a curated record
ACUGACCAUGAUGUGAUGUCAUAAAGUACAUCCGAGUUAAGUGCAUAUAUGUAAUUCAGAUCAAAUGACAUGGAAUUCUACUAUUCGUUAAAAUUAUUUGUUUUCCACUUUUUUGUGGGGCGGGUUGGAUUGUCUCAAGCUUAACCCAUUUACCUUUCUAAAGUUUUACUUUAAUAGUCAAACCUCAACACACAGCAUUCUACUGAAUUAUGAACAUAAAGAACAAGUGAAACUAAUAAAAGUGCCAACAAUAAAAAAACACAAAGGAUGGAAAUAGUAGGAAAACAUGGAGAAAUAUAGGACAGAGGAUAAACAUACUUUUAUAAUUCCACAAACUAUCAUGAAUUUGGAAUAAAAAAUUGGCUUGCCAUAACCAAAUUCAAGAAUGCAGAACUCAAUUUUCAUCAGUUUCAAAUUUGAAAUGAUUGCAGCAACAUCGAGUGCAACCAUAAAAACCCCUACUAAGUGAAUCAAUAAUCUGAAAAUAUAAAUAAAUUCAUAUUGACCUGUCAUGGAUUGGGCCAUCAUUUUUAUUUAUCUAGUUGGCUUGUAUGGUGGGCUAGCCCAAGCCUUAUAGGUUGUUUUUGUUCUACAUAUAGCUUGGCUUUGAAGACAAUGAGGGUCGUCGAGUUGAUGAAUUGAAAUUGGCUACUGCCGUCUAUCCUCUUCUCUGCCUCUUCUUGGUGCCUCCGGUUCUUCUUCUUCUUCCUCUGUGCUUUUUGUGUUUCUCCCUUUGUGGUAAGCUUCUUCUUCUCCUGUUUUCUCCUCUAUUUCUACUACUUCCUCUUCUCUGAAUUUCUCUAUUUCUUCUUCCUCCACUAGUCUAUCUCUUUCUCUGCUAGUCUAUAUUGUAACCUUUUGCAUUGUAAUAGUAUUGUCCAUUUAUGAGAUGAAGAUCAGUUGUUAUUGUUAGUAAUUUCACUUUAUGUUAUUCAAUUUGGGUUAUUAUAAUUUAUAUUCUGCCUCUUGUGUCUACUGUUGCUUGUUAUCGGUUGAGUUUUACAAAAAUUGGGCUCCAACCAUAACAAAUGGUAUCAUGUCAUGGAUUGGGCCAUCUAUUUUAUUUAUCUAGUUGGGCUUGUAUAGUGGGCUAGCCCAAGCCCUAUAGGUUGUUUUUGUUCUACCUAUAGCUUGGGUUUGAAGACAAUGAGGGUUGUCGAAUUCAUGAAUUGAAAUUGGCUACUGCCGUCUAUCCUCUUCUCUGCCUCUUCUCGGUGCCUCCGGUUCUUCUUCUUCUCUUCCUCUGUGCUUUUUGUGUUUCUCCCUUUUUGCUUGGGUUUGAAGACAAUGAGGGUUGUCGAAUUGAUGAAUUGAAAUUGGCUACUGCCGUCUAUCCUCUUCUCUGCCUCUUCUCGGUGCCUCCGGCUCUUCUUCUUCUCUUCCUCUGUGCUUUUUGUGUUUCUCCCUUUUUGGUAAUCUUCUUCUUCUCUUGUUUUCUCCUCUGUUUCUCCUGCUUCCUCUUCUCUGAAUUUCUCUGUUUCUUCUUCCUCCACUAGUCUAUCUCUUUCUCUGCUGCUCUAUAUUAUACUUGUAACCUUUGCAUUGUAAUAGUAUUGUCCAUUUAUGAGAUGAAGAUCAGUUGUUAUUGUUA